GAAACUUUUCCCCUCCAACGCGGCCAGGCCGUGGCUGCCGCCGGACCCGGCGGACCGCUACGCGACCGCAUCGUCACCCCACCAGCUGAUGGGCGUAGAACCAUCCCUUCCGCCCCGCAUUGCCGGAGGCCGGGGGCGGAAUGCGGCAGCGGCCGCGCUGGGCCGCGCAAACAUCCGCAGGGGAGGACGCGGCGCGGCGAAACCACGGAGCGGCGCAGCAGCGCGACCAGCGGAGAGUCCAUGAGACCCAGGUGCCUCCGCCGGCGCGGGUGGACCCAGCCGGGCCACCUGGCACCGCCCCUGCGAGCUCAUCUUCUUCAUUACCUGUUACGAUCACCUGGCCGGCCGACUCCCACCGUUCGGCGCCGCCUGUCACUUGGAGGGGAACAACAACAACCCCUCUGGGCAGCAAUCAGGGCAGGCCGGCGGCCGGACGGACCGUUACUAGGUCGAGUCGGCGGCACCAUCUACUUCCUCGUUCUGCUCUGCACUGUUCUGCUCUGUCCUGUUCUGCCCUGCCAUGUUCUGUGCGCUCUGUCCUGCGGGACUAGCCUUGCGUGCCGCGCCCGAGGCAAAUGCCAACCGCCGGAGGCGCGGUAUAUAAGCUGAGUCCCGCAGUGAUCUCGCUCUCUUCGCUCUCCACUCGGGAGCUACGUUGGACUGCCCAGUGCGCGACGUGUGCGUCCAUACCUCCUACCCAAUAUCAUAUCUACCCGGAGUUCGGAAUCGCUCUGUCAUCUAUAUUCAUCGGAGGGAUGUGGGAAACUUUUCCCCUCCAACGCGGCCAGGCCGUGGCUGCCGCCGGACCCGGCGGACCGCUACGCGACCGCAUCGUCACCCCACCAGCUGAUGGGCGUAGAACCAUCCCUUCCGCCCCGCAUUGCCGGAGGCCGGGGGCGGAAUGCGGCAGCGGCCGCGCUGGGCCGCGCAAACAUCCGCAGGGGAGGACGCGGCGCGGCGAAACCACGGAGCGGCGCAGCAGCGCGACCAGCGGAGAGUCCAUGAGACCCAGGUGCCUCCGCCGGCGCGGGUGGACCCAGCCGGGCCACCUGGCACCGCCCCUGCGAGCUCAUCUUCUUCAUUACCUGUUACGAUCACCUGGCCGGCCGACUCCCACCGUUCGGCGCCGCCUGUCACUUGGAGGGGAACAACAACAACCCCUCUGGGCAGCAAUCAGGGCAGGCCGGCGGCCGGACGGACCGUUACUAGGUCGAGUCGGCGGCACCAUCUACUUCCUCGUUCUGCUCUGCACUGUUCUGCUCUGUCCUGUUCUGCCCUGCCAUGUUCUGUGCGCUCUGUCCUGCGGGACUAGCCUUGCGUGCCGCGCCCGAGGCAAAUGCCAACCGCCGGAGGCGCGGUAUAUAAGCUGAGUCCCGCAGUGAUCUCGCUCUCUUCGCUCUCCACUCGGGAGCUACGUUGGACUGCCCAGUGCGCGACGUGUGCGUCCAUACCUCCUACCCAAUAUCAUGUAAGUAAAAGGGUGCGGCCCUUAUUUGGGGCAGUGUAUAUAGCCAUGAUCAAUGUAUAAUAAUGUGUGCAUAUGUAAAUAAUUACCUUGAAAACUU
RNAcentral lists this long non-coding RNA (1565 nucleotides) under Amphibalanus amphitrite. RNAcentral describes it as "uncharacterized LOC122379262". The record is from RNAcentral. Lineage: Eukaryota; Metazoa; Arthropoda; Thecostraca; Balanomorpha; Balanidae.